ACUAACAUCUGGACAUGUGGAACC
RNAcentral lists this non-coding RNA (24 nucleotides) under Cricetulus griseus (Chinese hamster). The record is from RNAcentral. Lineage: Eukaryota; Metazoa; Chordata; Mammalia; Rodentia; Cricetidae.